AGAGUUUGAUCCUGGCUCAGAUUGAACGCUGGCGGCAGGCCUAACACAUGCAAGUCGAGCGGUAGCACAGAGAGCUUGCUCUCGGGUGACGAGCGGCGGACGGGUGAGUAAUGUCUGGGAAACUGCCUGAUGGAGGGGGAUAACUACUGGAAACGGUAGCUAAUACCGCAUAACGUCGCAAGACCAAAGUGGGGGACCUUCGGGCCUCAUGCCAUCAGAUGUGCCCAGAUGGGAUUAGCUAGUAGGUGGGGUAAUGGCUCACCUAGGCGACGAUCCCUAGCUGGUCUGAGAGGAUGACCAGCCACACUGGAACUGAGACACGGUCCAGACUCCUACGGGAGGCAGCAGUGGGGAAUAUUGCACAAUGGGCGCAAGCCUGAUGCAGCCAUGCCGCGUGUGUGAAGAAGGCCUUCGGGUUGUAAAGCACUUUCAGCGGGGAGGAAGGCGUUAAGGUUAAUAACCUUGGCGAUUGACGUUACCCGCAGAAGAAGCACCGGCUAACUCCGUGCCAGCAGCCGCGGUAAUACGGAGGGUGCAAGCGUUAAUCGGAAUUACUGGGCGUAAAGCGCACGCAGGCGGUCUGUCAAGUCGGAUGUGAAAUCCCCGGGCUCAACCUAGGAACUGCAUUCGAAACUGGCAGGCUAGAGUCUUGUAGAGGGGGGUAGAAUUCCAGGUGUAGCGGUGAAAUGCGUAGAGAUCUGGAGGAAUACCGGUGGCGAAGGCGGCCCCUGGACAAAGACUGACGCUCAGUGCGAAAGCGUGGGGAGCAAACAGGAUUAGAUACCUGUAGUCACGCGUAACGAUGUCGAUUUGGAGUGUGCCCUUGAGCGUGCUCGCUACGCGUAAAUCGACGCUGGGAGUACGGCCGCAAGGUUAAAACUCAAAUGAAUUGACGGGGGCCCGCACAAGCGGUGGAGCAUGUGGUUUAAUUCGAUGCAACGCGAAGAACCUUACCUGGUCUUGACAUCCACAGAACUUUCCAGAGAUGGAUUGGUGCCUUCGGGAACUGUGAGACAGGUGCUGCAUGACUGUCGUCAGCUCGUGUUGUGAAAUGUUGGGUUAAGUCCCGCAACGAGCGCAACCCUUAUCCUUUGUUGCCAGCGGUUCGGCCGGGAACUCAAAGGAGACUGCCAGUGAUAAACUGGAGGAAGGUGGGGAUGACGUCAAGUCAUCAUGGCCCUUACGACCAGGGCUACACACGUGCUACAAUGGCAUAUACAAAGAGAAGCGACCUCGCGAGAGCAAGCGGACCUCAUAAAGUAUGUCGUAGUCCGGAUUGGAGUCUGCAACUCGACUCCAUGAAGUCGGAAUCGCUAGUAAUCGUAGAUCAGAAUGCUACGGUGAAUACGUUCCCGGGCCUUGCACACACCGCCCGUC
RNAcentral lists this ribosomal RNA (1377 nucleotides) under uncultured bacterium. RNAcentral's name for it is "bacterial SSU rRNA". It matches the Rfam family "Bacterial small subunit ribosomal RNA". The record is from RNAcentral.